GCGCCUGUGGCUCAAACGGAUAGAGCAUCUGACUUCGGAUCAGAGGGUUGGGGGUUCGAGUCCCUCCAGGCGUG
This 74-nucleotide transfer RNA is filed under the name Acidimicrobiia bacterium. Its description in RNAcentral is "tRNA-Arg". It matches the Rfam family "tRNA". From Rfam's summary of the family: Transfer RNA (tRNA) molecules are approximately 80 nucleotides in length. Their secondary structure includes four short double-helical elements and three loops (D, anti-codon, and T loops). The record is from RNAcentral. Lineage: Bacteria; Bacillati; Actinomycetota; Acidimicrobiia.